Molecule: long non-coding RNA, 492 nt
Filed under: Hordeum vulgare
Lineage: Eukaryota; Viridiplantae; Streptophyta; Magnoliopsida; Poales; Poaceae
Description: long non-coding RNA (HVUL_LNC014186)
Source: RNAcentral
GUUUUCCUCGUCACUUGCGGAAACAGGGAAUGAAAGUGUCACUAUAUUUUUUCUGAGACAUGCAUGUCCGAUGCCAGGUAGGUGGCCACACUUUUCGUUCGGUCAGGACAAGCAAAAAUGCAUUACUAACAAUGCCAUUCCAUAGACAUUAUUAGACAUAACCAGUUUCAACAGAAAAAUUCACACAUCAUUUGUAUUUAUGUAGAACCUCCAGUUCUAAUACUAAAUCCAAGCAUCCAAGAAUAUACAUAGUAGAACUGAAAUUUUUCACUAGAUGAACCCAAAAUCAUGCAUAAUUCUGGUCUAAACACUGCAACAAGUGAGGUAUGCUCUUAUUGCCUGAAAUAAAAAAUAACUUAAGGAGCACUAUUUUGGCUAUUAAAGAAUCUGGCUAUGAGCAAAUGCAUUAAUAAGAAAAGCAAUGAUUACCUAAUGGAUAAAUCUAGGAAGAACCGGGAUGAAUCAAUACCUGCAACAAUGGGAACUGCAAGN